Non-coding RNA from Oryctolagus cuniculus (rabbit), 4738 nucleotides. The record is from RefSeq and is a predicted model, not a curated record. NCBI's taxonomy places the organism in Eukaryota, Metazoa, Chordata, Mammalia, Lagomorpha, Leporidae.
GAGUGUGGACAGGACCUUUGCUUGUUUCUGAGCCACGGACUGCGUCAGAGGUGAGUGACCAUUCCUCCUGCCAUGCUGGUACGUCGUACAAGUUUCCACCUUGCUUGCCAACCCACUCUAGAAUCUCUCUGUGCUGCCUUGAGGGGCGCUUCCAAGCUGGAAGGUCUCCAUGGUGAGGAGAGGCUGCCUCUGGCCGUAGAAGCUAGGGAUUUCCACCUCCAGCCCCCAGAGGGAACGAAUUCUGCCAACAGCCCACGCGUGUUUGGGAGCAGAUUCUUCCCCACCCAGCCUCCAGAUGAGAAUGUAGCCCUGCUCGCACCUUGAUCGCAGCCUGGUGAUUCCCAACGUGGUAAGUGCUGCCUGGAUUCCUGGUGGACAGCAACCACAGGAAACACGCGUGUGUCACUCUCAGUUUUUUAAUUUGUGCCAACUUGUUACAUGGUAGUGGGAAAUACUGUCGGUAGCUUAUUUGUUUGAAUGAGGUUGAAAGCCAGUUAAUUUUCUGAACAGUUCGUGCCAGUUUGAAAGAGAAUAGCUUUGGAGAAAUGAAUUGGAAAGGAACUAGGAGGAAUGGGACUUUCUGAAGGGCCUGGUAGCAGCAGAUGCCAAAUCAUCCCAGGAUACGAGGAGCCGCUCUGUGAAAAAGGAGGGAGCUCAAAGAGAACUUGAGUUUCCAGGAGCUCCAGGCCUGGGCAAGGUGGAGCGGGACAGUGGGUGGGGAAGGCUGGGAGAGUGCAGACUGCAGGAGUUGCCCCGAUUGUACCCUUCUCCUAAACCGUGAACAAAUUCACAGAAGCUUCCUGGGAGUGCUUUGUGGGAUGUCAACCCUGGAAGAGGCCCAUCUGGGUGGAGCAGAGGCAGGAAGAGGCAGAGUCCGAGGCAGUGUCCUGGAGAACCAAACUCCCAUGCCCAUCUUCUCAGUCGGGCUGGCGGCAUUAGCUACCGUAGCAGUCUACCAAGAGCUGAGCGGCUGCAGUUGCAAACUUUCUGGUUCCGCAGCUCUGGAGGCUGCAAAUCUGAGGUCAAGGUGUCGGCAGGGUGGGCUCCUGCUGUAGUGUGGGAGCUGGAAUCUGGGCCAGGCCUCAGCCCGGCUCCUGGGGCUUUAUUGGCCCGUGGCUUUGGAAGCAUCGCCUGCAUCUCUGCCUUCAUUUUCCACAGUGCUCUUCCUGUGUGGGUGUCCGCCUUUGAAUUUCCCCUUCCGUUAAGGACACCGGUCAUAUUGGCUUAGACAGGGGCUGCUCCUCUGUGUGGCUGCAGCUUAGCUAUUACAUCUGCGUGAAUCCUAUUCCCAAAGGAGAUCACAUCCUCAGGUGUUGGAGGCUUGGACUUCAAUUUAUGAACUGGGGGUGGGAGAUACGUUUUAACCCAUAACAUGGGAGUUGGUAGCAAUCUCGGCUGGAACCAGAUUUGUACCAGCUGCGAGAUGGGAAUGUUCAAGAUAAUUUUGGCUUUAUUUGAAGAGGUUGGUAGGCCCUCAAAUGAUAUCACCGUAUGAAGAAACUUCCUAGGGUCUGCCUUAAAUUUCACAAGCAAACCAGUAUGCCUCGGCAGGUUGCUUUUCAAAGCUUUCUGCGAAAUGACCAAUAUGCAUCUCCCCAAGAUUAGUGUCUCCUGCUGUCUUGUGGGCUUGCAAAGCCGUUGUGUAACAGUGACUCGUGCCUCACCGUACAGUGCCAAGGGGAAAGACACGGGAACUUCACUCUCUGUAGCGGAGGAAAAAGUCUCACCAAAGAAGUCAGGACUGACAACACCAGCUUCCCCAGGGACAAAGAUGGGUGCUCUGACACUUCCCAGGUGCCACCGUCAGAUGCUGUGGCUCAAGGUUUCGUUCUCAGGGCUGAGAGCCUGUGGGUGUCCACCCACUCCUCUCCUAGCUGGACACUCGGCUACCAAGCCAACAGGUCUCGCUGCCUGCAAUCACCAGGCUCCGUGUCCUUUGCAAAGCCCUUUUAAGUCCUUUCCUUGACUCCCCUCUGUGACAGCGCAGGUUAGCAAGUGUCAUUUCAGUGGGACAGUGAGGCAGGGCUUGUUAAAUUAGCAGCGAUUUGAUUCUGAUCACAUAGAUGGAGAAGGAAGCAGUGUCUUUGGAGGUAGAAAGGGAAGCAGUGGAAAAUACGCCCACUCUCUUCUACAAAAAUAGCUGCCACACCGACUCAUUCCUUCUCCAUCUCUCUCUCUCCCUGUCUUCCACCUUCCCUCUCUCCCUUCCACUUAGCAUAUGUCAGACAAUGGAGUCACAGAAUGUUCACACUCUUUAAUUCCAGAGAGUGAAACUGAGCCUCAGAGAGGUAAAGCAACUCGUCCAAAGGUACACACACAGCCUUGGCAGCACCAAAGUUGAAUAUGUGGGCAUGUGAGAACUCACGUUGGUUUUUGCUAUCAAGAAGAGUUUUCAAACUUGUUCUCUGCUCACCACCUGCCUUCUCCCAGGUCACCAUGGAGGCUUCUCCCCGAACCCCUCGCAUUUGGCUCUGUGCUGCAGCAGGUGCCGCCACCACCCCGCCCACCUCAGAGCUGGCUCUCUCUGCCUGCCCAGGAACCCUGCCUAACGGAUGUGCGUGGAACGCCUUGCCACUCAAAACCGAAACAUGGAGCUUUCUCAGGCACAUUGGCCCAGUGUCACCAUAAACAGAGAAAAGACAGCCAAUCGUGAGCAGGUGAGUCAGAGAGACCCUGAAAUGGCAGGAAACAGGAGGGGAAACACUGCCAAGGACCCUGCAGGGGACCAAGGUCCCCUGGGGACCCAGUCCCACUGUGCCACCUGUCGCAACCCUACCGUGUCAACCCCGAGUUCUAGGGUGAGUUUGGGCCCAGAGCCUUCCCUCUGUCUGAGGAUUCAAGGGAAGGGGUGGCAGAACUGUGAUAAAAAAAUGAGGGCUCAUUGAAGUCGUGGCACCCGUGGAAAGACAGCUCAUGUUUCAAACCCAGACGAUGACACAAGAGGGGCUGAGAGUCCCGACACCUUGCGUGGCCGCCGCUUUGUUUUAACAAGUGUUCUCUUUCAGAACCAGAGGCUCUUGCUCAUCCCAGCUGGAAUCCGCCCGAGGCCGGCCACCAGCCACACCCUGUUCAGAAUGGCAGCCGGUUAGCAAGAACCUGCAGCCAGCCUGGCCAGGAACUCAGCGGGGUCUAAGUUUAACUCGGCACAGAGGGCAUUUCCUGCCUUGCAGAACCUUGGAGAUGAUCAAGCCUUUCCCUCUCACUUUGCUUCUUCAAGGGCCAGAGGCCAGAUCUAAGGGCUCCCUUGCAAAAGGUGGCCCGACAGCCAUAGGUUUCUUCUAACCACGGAUCAUCCACUACAGAAGACCUCAGAACAAAUCACCAGUCUUAGGAGUUCCUGGCUGUGAAGCUUAAUUGCCUGGGCAUCUGUAGUGUAGAAGAGGAAUAAACAGGAGCAGUGGCAGGAGAAAGUUCUCAUUCUGAAAUUCCACUUCUGUCAAUAGUAACUAUUAAUUAUUACAAGGGCUUGCUACAUGAGAUACUUUCUGUACAUUCUCUCAGUUUAUUCCCACAUGAACCUGUAAAGUAGGUGCUAAUGUGAACCCCAAUUUUUAAAUAAGAAAACUGAUUCAAGAACUCAUGGUAAUAUAGCUAGAAAGUAAUACAGCCAAAAUUCCUUUUUAAAAAAAUAAUUUUAGGGACCGCUGCCUGCAGUGCCAGCAUCCCAUAUGCAUGUGGCUUUAUCACGCAUGGGAUUUUAUUGCUAACGUGAUCACUAAUCUGGUUCUUCCAUAAACUUGUCACUGCUUUGGCUACUAACUAGCCACCUUAUUGACAGAACAAAGAGCAAUUAUUACAGUCAAAACAGUAUGAUUAAAGUCACUUGUGUUCAAAAUAGUAAAUCAAAAUGGUGGAGACAGGGUCUGGCCUGGAAAACGCACACAUGAAAUGUUUCAUUUGGGCCAGGCAUUCUGGCACAGCGGGUUAAGCCUCUGCUUGGGGACACCCAUAUCCCAUGUCGCAGUGCCUAGCAUUGAGUCCUGGCUCUGCUUCUGAUCCAGCUUCCUGCUAAUGCACAUUCCGGGAGGCAGCAGAAGAUGGCUCAAGUACUUGAGUGCCUGCCACCUGCAGAGCUCCUGGCAUUGGCCUGGCCCAUCCCUGGCUGAUGCAGGCAUUUGUGGGGGUGAUGGAAGCGUUCUCUCUCUCUCUCUCUCUCUCUCUCAUUCUCUAUGUCUCUGUCCUCAUUCUCUCUGUCUCUGUCUUUCAAAUAUGUUUUUAAAAUGGGUACAUAAACAUUUAAAAAUAAAAUGUUUCAUUCUCCUAACAGUCAACAGAUACUAAUAAUUUGUCUACUUUUUGCCCAGGCCUCUUUAAACACCGUGACCCAGCAGUUAACAAGACACAGCCUUGACUCUCACAGUCCAGCAGGAAGCUCUGAGUGUGCAAGGCCUAGAUCUGUUGUGGAGACUGCUGUGAACCCUCAGCCGUGUCUGGAAGGGAGAUGCUCCACGUAUAGCUGGUGAAUGAUGAAAUCACUGGACAGGACUGGGGUCAGGCUUGCAUCUUCCAGAGCAAUGACCCCGGUCCCACAGCCAUGAAGACACAGUCAGACAACCAAGGGAGCCUUGCCAGCGCCGGGUCCUGGAGACAAUGAGUCCACAGCAGUGACUGAGACAGAGUAGACAUGCAGGAGGCGUGGGUAAGGUGAGUCUGUUGGGGGAAUGAGGGGAUGGAGCUUCAGCUGUGGUGGAGACGUGGAGUCGAAUCCGGCUUCAAUGCACUGGAUGCUCAGGUGAGC